This 1297-nucleotide ribosomal RNA is filed under the name metagenome. RNAcentral describes it as "bacterial SSU rRNA". It matches the Rfam family "Bacterial small subunit ribosomal RNA", at positions 8 to 1326 of the family's 1533-position model. The record is from RNAcentral.
AGAGUUUGAUCCUGGCUCAGGACGAACGCUGGCGGCGCGCCUAACACAUGCAAGUCGAACGAGCGAGAGAGAGCUUGCUUUCUCGAGCGAGUGGCGAACGGGUGAGUAACGCGUGAGGAACCUGCCUCAAAGAGGGGGACAACAGUUGGAAACGACUGCUAAUACCGCAUAAGCCCACGGCUCGGCAUCGAGCAGAGGGAAAAGGAGCAAUCCGCUUUGAGAUGGCCUCGCGUCCGAUUAGCUAGUUGGUGAGGUAAUGGCCCACCAAGGCGACGAUCGGUAGCCGGACUGAGAGGUUGAACGGCCACAUUGGGACUGAGACACGGCCCAGACUCCUACGGGAGGCAGCAGUGGGGAAUAUUGCACAAUGGGGGAAACCCUGAUGCAGCGACGCCGCGUGGAGGAAGAAGGUCUUCGGAUUGUAAACUCCUGUUGUUGAGGAAGAUAAUGACGGUACUCAACAAGGAAGUGACGGCUAACUACGUGCCAGCAGCCGCGGUAAAACGUAGGUCACAAGCGUUGUCCGGAAUUACUGGGUGUAAAGGGAGCGCAGGCGGGAAGACAAGUUGGAAGUGAAAUCCAUGGGCUCAACCCAUGAACUGCUUUCAAAACUGUUUUUCUUGAGUAGUGCAGAGGUAGGCGGAAUUCCCGGUGUAGCGGUGGAAUGCGUAGAUAUCGGGAGGAACACCAGUGGCGAAGGCGGCCUACUGGGCACCAACUGACGCUGAGGCUCGAAAGUGUGGGUAGCAAACAGGAUUAGAUACCCUGGUAGUCCACACUGUAAACGAUGAUUACUAGGUGUUGGAGGAUUGACCCCUUCAGCGCCGCAGUUAACACAAUAAGUAAUCCACCUGGGGAGUACGACCGCAAGGUUGAAACUCAAGGGAAUUGACGGGGGCCCGCACAAGCAGUGGAGUAUGUGGUUUAAUUCGACGCAACGCGAAGAACCUUACCAAGUCUUGACAUCCUGCGACGCACAUAGAAAUAUGUGUUUCCUUCGGGACGCAGAGACAGGUGGUGCAUGGUUGUCGUCAGCUCGUGUCGUGAGAUGUUGGGUUAAGUCCCGCAACGAGCGCAACCCUUAUGGUCAGUUACUACGCAAGAGGACUCUGGCCAGACUGCCGUUGACAAAACGGAGGAAGGUGGGGAUGACGUCAAAUCAUCAUGCCCUUUAUGACUUGGGCUACACACGUACUACAAUGGCGUUAAACAAAGAGGAGCAAGACCGCGAGGUGGAGCAAAACUCAGAAACAACGUCCCAGUUCGGACUGCAGGCUGCAACUCGCCUGCACGAAGU